Molecule: long non-coding RNA, 272 nt
Filed under: Fukomys damarensis (Damara mole-rat)
Lineage: Eukaryota; Metazoa; Chordata; Mammalia; Rodentia; Bathyergidae
Description: lncRNA (ENSFDAG00000028058.1)
Source: RNAcentral
AGAAUACAGGCUUCUUUCAACUCGACUGAACAACCGUUGCUUUUCUAUCAAACGACUUUUCAUAUCAUUUCAGCACCACACUUUCAAAAUUAACUUCGUUGUAUGUUAGAGGAAUUGCUCCUCCAAGAGAGAAAAAGAGAAAGAAAUCAAGGAAAAACGUAAAGAUUGCCAACUGUGACUGAGCCAAACGAAACAUGAGCAAAAAGGAUGACCUGGGAACAAUCAGGAAGCUCAAAUAAAUGGAGAUCAUGUCAAUGACAAAGAAUGGCCUG